GACGAACGCUGGCGGCGUGCUUAACACAUGCAAGUCGAACGGAAAGGCCCUGCUUUUGUGGGGUGCUCGAGUGGCGAACGGGUGAGUAACACGUGAGUAACCUGCCCUUGACUUUGGGAUAACUUCAGGAAACUGGGGCUAAUACCGGAUAGGAGCUCCUGCUGCAUGGUGGGGGUUGGAAAGUUUCGGCGGUUGGGGAUGGACUCGCGGCUUAUCAGCUUGUUGGUGGGGUAGUGGCUUACCAAGGCUUUGACGGGUAGCCGGCCUGAGAGGGUGACCGGCCACAUUGGGACUGAGAGACGGCCCAGACUCCUACGGGAGGCAGCAGUGGGGAAUAUUGCACAAUGGGCGGAAGCCUGAUGCAGCAACGCCGCGUGCGGGAUGACGGCCUUCGGGUUGUAAACCGCUUUCGCCUGUGACGAAGCGUGAGUGACGGUAAUGGGUAAAGAAGCACCGGCUAACUACGUA
RNAcentral lists this ribosomal RNA (468 nucleotides) under uncultured bacterium. RNAcentral describes it as "partial 16S ribosomal RNA". It matches the Rfam family "Bacterial small subunit ribosomal RNA", at positions 28 to 507 of the family's 1533-position model. The record is from RNAcentral.